AGUCCUAGAAGCGGCAGCUCGGGAGUAUUAUGCAAAACUUUUGGAACGGCCUUCAUCAGCUGCUGAGUGUUUCUUUAUCCCGGGAAGAGAGAAAGUUAAACUUGAGGCUUCCUUGGUGCGUUUCCUUCCUCUGUACGGACGAGGCAGCGAAAGGACUCUCCUGGUUUUAAAUGACCCUCAGCAAAAAGACACAGUUUUAGCCAUUUAUUUGCACAAUUCUUGGUGGCCCGUUGAAGAUGUAGUGAAGACAGCUGAUCUGUCCCGAGAAGGG
Gekko japonicus is the source of this 271-nucleotide long non-coding RNA. RefSeq lists it as uncharacterized. The record is from RefSeq and is a predicted model, not a curated record. The transcript has 3 exons. Lineage: Eukaryota; Metazoa; Chordata; Lepidosauria; Squamata; Gekkonidae.